RNAcentral lists this ribosomal RNA (496 nucleotides) under uncultured bacterium. Its description in RNAcentral is "partial 16S ribosomal RNA". It matches the Rfam family "Bacterial small subunit ribosomal RNA", at positions 28 to 506 of the family's 1533-position model. The record is from RNAcentral.
GAUGAACGCUGGCGGCGUGCCUAAUACAUGCAAGUCGAGCGAACAGACGAGGAGCUUGCUCCUCUGACGUUAGCGGCGGACGGGUGAGUAACACGUGGAUAACCUACCUAUAAGACUGGGAUAACUUCGGGAAACCGGAGCUAAUACCGGAUAAUAUAUUGAACCGCAUGGUUCAAUAGUGAAAGACGGUUUUGCUGUCACUUAUAGAUGGAUCCGCGCCGCAUUAGCUAGUUGGUAAGGUAACGGCUUACCAAGGCAACGAUGCGUAGCCGACCUGGGAGGGUGAUCGGCCACACUGGAACUGAGACACGGUCCAGACUCCUACGGGAGGCAGCAGUAGGGAAUCUUCCGCAAUGGGCGAAAGCCUGACGGAGCAACGCCGCGUGAGUGAUGAAGGUCUUCGGAUCGUAAAACUCUGUUAUUAGGGAAGAACAAAUGUGUAAGUAACUAUGCACGUCUUGACGGUACCUAAUCAGAAAGCCACGGCUAACUACGU